UUCCGAUGGAAGUCAUUCCUUGCCCAUGUUGACCACGCCGCGCGGAGAGCACCAUGGCGGUGGACGACGGCGAGGCCUAGGAAGGAGACUACUGUAACGCCCGGAUAAUCAUGCUACAGUAAUCUCACGUUAAUGAUGGCACGUCACCUCUGUCACUGUAAUUAAUCUCGGGUUAAUUCAAAACCGUUUCAAAUUUAAAUCCUAAAUAAGUCAAACGACAAAAGUUUUCAAAUAUUAUAAUAAAAAUGUUCGGGCCAUGCCAAUUAUUGCAUCGGUAAUUAUGGUGAAGUAAACACAUUUUUAUAAAAUGCCUAAAUGCUUUUAAAUGAAUUAAACAGAAAAGAAAAUAAAUAAAUAAAAAGAAAAUACAAAAGGGGAGAAACAAACAAAAAAAAGAGAAGAAGAGAAACCCCCCCACUGGACCCUGGCCCAACUGGGCCGACCCCAGACCCAGCCGGCCUGGCCCACCUCGCUCGACCGUGCCCUCCCCUUCCCUGUUCCCCCGACCGGGGUCGGAACAGGGGCAGGUCCCCGCCGCACCCCCUCGCCGGUGACGGGGGAGGAUAAGGCCGCCACGCCCCGCCUCCUCGAUCGCGCCUCCCACUCGCCCCCACCCUCGCCCUCGGUUCCUUCGCCUCUCCCUCCUCCCUCAGCUCCACCUCGUUCCCCACCGCAAACGAGCGCCGCCGUCGCCAUGGCUGCGCCAUAGCCGCGGCCACCGAGCCCCGUUCUCCUCCCCGACGUGUCCACGAGCUCCGCCGCGUCGAGCCCAUCCUCCCCGACCACCUGCGCGAGCCGGGACCCCCUACAUCACCCCCAACGCCGUCGCCUUCUUCCUCGGGUCGCCGCCGUCUUCUUCGACUCCGGCGACUGCUGCUGCUACUAAGCCACUCACCGGCCUCCGUGUACCGCGCGGUGAGCUCCUCUACCUCCUACCCUUCUCUGUUUGCUCUCGCGCGAACCUUAGCUAGCUCUCACGACGAGGCCGAAUGCGUCGCCGCGGAGCUCGUCGCCGACGCGUCUCCGGUGACGGUUUGGUCACGGGCUCGUACCCAUUGGACUCGCCGCACCACGUAGUUCCUCCCCAGCCUCCUCUUUUGCUCAAUAGCGUGCUGCCUUGCCGUUUCCAUCUUCGACCGAAGCCGCUCCGCCGCUGGCCUCGACGCCGGCGCCGAUUCCAGCCAACUCCGGCGACGCCACCACCGCUGUUCGACGCGCGUUGCUCCGCUCGUUCGAACGCGCCCUCGCGCGCGCGAAACGGUUGCCCGUAGCCGAAAUCCGACGAGGUCCGAAGCCCUCCGCCGUGUUUGGCGUCACCGGCGACGUGCCACCGGCCGCCGCUGACGUGGCACACCUAGGGCCACCCCGGGUCACUGCCAGCGGGCCCCGCGGGCCCCGUUGAAUGGGUUGACCCAGUCAACGUGCUGACUAGGCGUCUUUGUGACGCUGACAUGCGGGCCCCGCCGCAUAAGUAAACUAAAUAAAAUGUUUUUAUAAAAUAAAACUAAUUAAUUAAUCUAAAUAGGCACUGACAGGUGGGGCCUACCUGCUAAUAACCUUGUUUAAGUUAGUUAUAAAACUCUGUUAGUGCCCUGUCAAUGACAUGUGGGUCCCACUGGACCCACCUGUCUGGUUUGACUGGUCAGCCAACCUGUUGACCUGCUGACGUCAGCGUUACCUCAUGCUGAUGUCAUAAUUCAUUUUUGCUAAAUUCAAAUAAUUCCAGAAAUUCAAAUAAUCUUUGAAAAUUCAUAUCUUUUAAACCGUAACUCGGAUGAAAAUGUUUUCUACAUGAAAGUUGCUCAGAACGACGAGACGAAUCCGGAUACGCAGUCCGUUCGUCCACCACACCUCCCUAACAUAUCGAACUCGCAACUUUCCCCCUCCGGUCCGUCUGUCCGAAAAUGCAAAACAUCGGGAAUACUUUCCCGGAUGUUCCCCCUCUUCGCCGGCACCACCUACUGUCGCGUUAGGACACACCUCGCACUGCUCAUUGUCAUGUCACGCAUCGUCAUGUUUAUGUUUGCAUUGUAUUUACUGUUUCUUCCCCCUCUUCUCUCUGGUAGACUACGAGACCGACACUGCUGCUGCCCAGUUCGACUACCGAGUUGACGACCCCUCCUACUUGCCAGAGCAACCAGGCAAGGCCCCCCUUGAUCACCAGAUAUCGCCUAUUCUUCCCUAUACUGCUUGCAUUAGAGUAGUGUAGCAUGUUACUGCUUUCGGUUAAUUCUAUUCUGAUGCAUAGCCUGCCAUUGUUACUACAGUUGUUACUCUUACCUGCAAUCCUAAAUGCUUAGUAUAGGAUGCUAGUUUUCCAUCAGUGGCCCUACAUUCUUGUCCGUCUGCUGUGCUAUACUAUCGGGCCGUGAUCACCUGGGCGGUGAUCACGGGUAUAUACUUAUAUACUAUAUACAUGACACAUGUGGUGACUAAAGUCGGGUCGGCUCGUAGGAGUACCCGCAAGUGGAUGUUUGUGGCGGAGCGACAGGGCAGGUUGAGACCGCCUAGGUGAGAGGUGGGCCUGGCCCUGGUCGGCGUUCGCGGAUACUUAACACGAUUAACGAGAUCUUGGUAUUUGAUCUGAGUCUGGCCAUUUGGCCUAUACGCACUAACCAUCUACGCGGGAGUAGUUAUGGGUAUCCCGACGUCGUGGUAUCAGCCGAAGCUCUUUUGACGUCAGCGACUGAGUGGCGCGCGCCGCAUUGGACCGUAAGCUUGCGCUUGUAUUAAGGGGGCUAAGUCUGCUUCCGGCCGCGUACGCAACGUGCAGGUGUGCUUAGGGCGAUGGGCCCAGACCCCUGCGCGCAUAGGGUUAGACCGGCGUGCUGACCUCUCUGUUGAGCCUAGGUGGGGCUGCGACGUGUUGAUCUUACGAGGCCGGGCAUGAACCCAGAAAAGUGUGUCCGGCCAAAUGGGAUCGAGCGUGUUGGGUUAUGUGGUGCACCCCUGCAGGGAAGUUUAUCUAUUCGAAUAGCCGUGUCCCUCGGUAAAAGGACGACCCGGAGUUGUACCUUGACCUUAUGACAACUAGAACUGGAUACUGAAUAAAAUACACCCUUCCAAGUGCCAGAUACAACCCGGUGAUCGCUCUCUAACAGGGCGACGAGGAGGGGAUCGCCGGAUAGGAUUAUGCUAUGCGAUGCUACUUGGAGGACUUCAAUCUACUCUCUUCUUCAUGCUGCAAGAUGGAGAUGACUAGAAGCGUAGUCUUCGACAGGACUAGCUAUCGCCCUUUUAUUCUGGGAUUCUGCAGUUCAGUCCACUGAUGUGCCCCUUUACACAUAUACCCCUGCAUAUGUAGUGUAGCUCCUUGCUUGCGAGUACUUUGGAUGAGUACUCACGGUUGCUUCUCUCCCUCUUUUCCCCCUUUCCUUUCUAUCUGGUUAUCGCAACCAGAUGCUGGAGUCCAGGAGCCAGACGCCACCAUCGACGACGACACCUACGACACUGGAGGUGCCUACUACUACGUGCAGGCCGCUGACGACGACCAGGAGUAGUUAGGAGGAUCCCAGGCAGGAGGCCUGCGCCUCGUUCGAUCUGUAUCCCAGUUUGUGCUAACCUUCUUAAGGCAAACUUGUUUAACUUAUGUCUGUACUCAGAUAUUGUUGCUUCCGAUGACUCGUCUGCGAUCGAGCACUUGUAUUCGAGCCCUCGAGGCCCCUGGCUUGUAUUAUGAUGCUUGUAUGACUUAUUUAUGUUUUAGAGUUGUGUUGUGAUAUCUUCCCGUGAGUCCCUGACCUUGAUCGUACACAUUUGCGUGCAUGAUUAGUGUACGGUCAAAACGGGGGCGUCACAAGUUGGUAUCAGAGCCGACUGCCUGUAGGACCCCCCUUUCCACACUCCUUGGCCGAAGUCGAGUCUAGACGUUACAAAACUUUUACUAACAUGGCUGUGUGUCUUACGGGCCCACGUCGCCAUUGGGUGGUACUAGGAUCUUUUACUCCUCGACCUUUACUCUGGGACUCUGAACUCUCUUCUACUCGGGUUAAACGAAUUUACUAACUCUAACACUAGGAUCCCGUGACCGCAUUCACCCCAAAGUUGGAUAAGCCAUAGUUGUUUCUUAGAAUAGUAUUUUGAACAAUUCACACACUGUCAUUUGACUCCUUUGAAACGUCUUUCCUUUCAGAUGGAACCCACGAGGCAGGUCGUGCGCCACACGACGGCCAUUGGUGCCUCGGGAUCACCGGCUGUGCUAGCUGAGAUGAUGACCUAUCUGGGUUAUCGCUGGCACCCUGAGUACACCGUCUACGAGGAGUACCAGGACUUUAACCAGGAGCAGUAUCGUGCCAUCGUCCACCUCUACUCGCGGGAGUAUGACUCCACUACUGUGCUGCACACCGCACAUGGUGUUGGUGUGACCAUCGAUAUGGCUGUCCACGAUGCUGCCUAUGCUGCUCUGACACGUCUUCGUGGAGAGUAUCGGGAGUUGGACACCUCCCCUUUCAGGCACAUUGCUAUCGCAUCUGAUGUUGGUGCGGAGGGAUACUAUACUGCUGCCUACUCCACUGUCACCCGAGAGCCCUUCUACCAUCAGAACCUGGUUCUGCAUGCUGAUGGGCUGGAUCGAGCUAACCGAGCUCUUCGCCACGAGAUGUACACCACCCGUCAACACCUUUACCGUGCUCUGACGCUGCUGCACCCCUUUGUCCGAUCUGGACAGCUACCGCGUACUGCGAUCUACCCAGCCAGGACCGUGAUGCCCCACGGUGUCGGUUGGCCAGAGGUGGGAGGCUACUCUCCCGCACUUGGUCCUCUUUUGCCACCUGAGCGUCGGGCUCUACACCUGAGUAUCCGCGGCCCCCAGUCUGCUGACAUGGAGGGCUAUCCGUUGCCUCACUACCAGCUGUCGGGCUACGAUUACCUCCACAGUACCUCUUGGGACUGAUGUAGGCUUGUUUGUAGUGUUAGAUGCAUUUGCCGCGAGCCUGUGUGCCGCCUAUGUUGUUUUAGUCGAUGUACUGAACUCUAUGUGCUGAACUCUAUGCAUGACCCCUUUUGUAAGUUAUGCCGACUACUAUGUAGUAGCUAUCGUGCUCCUUUCAUUAUGCAUGUUUCAUCAUGAAUGAUUCUUGUCUUUGCAAAUUUCUCAAUGCUGAACUACCCCUGUUAUAUAUUAGCAGGAUGGUUAGACCAGGUGGUCGUGGUCGUGGUGGCGAUGCCCCACCACCACCUGAGUACAUGGCUGGUAUGAUCCAACAGUUCGAACUGAACCGCCAAUUCAUGGAAAAUAUGAUGGCUCAGUUUCCUCGCCCCAAUAUGGACCAGCAACCAACCCCAGUAACUCUGCAGGAAUUCAUGCGCCUCAAUCCAACUAUGUACCGCAGCUCAACUCAGCCUCUGGAUGCUGAUGACUGGCUCCAUGACAUCACCUAUGAGAUGGAGUCUGCCAAUGUAGCCCCUGCCAGCUAUGUCAACUUUGCUUCCUUCUUUCUGAAGGGACCCGCAGCUCAAUGGUGGGACAGCCACAGGCGUACUCUGCCAGCUGGAACAAUCAUCACAUGGCCAGACUUCCAAGCAGCCUUCCGUGCCCGCUUCAUUCCUCAAGGAGUCAUGGACCGGAAGAAGCGUGAGUUCCGUAACCUCAUCCAAGGCAACAAAACUGUUGAAGCUUAUCAGCGGGAGUUUCUGGACUUGUCUCGCUAUGCUGAGGAGGACAUUGCAACUGAUGCACGCAGACAGGAGAAGUUCCGUGAUGGCCUUCAAGCUGACAUCAAGCUCGCACUUCUAGUGCAUGACUUUGCUGAUUUCGCCACCUUGGUGAACAAGGCCAUCAAUGUCGAAACUGGUCUCCAGGAAUACCAGAGCUCUCACAGGCGCAACCGUGACACGGGCUCAUCUUCGGGCUCGCCCGCACAGAAGCGUAAGAUAUGGAUCCCGAACAGCAUGUACCGUCCAAAUGCAUCUGCCCCAAGGCAGACCUAUGCUGCACCUCGUCUGCCUCCACCACCAUCUAGGCAGUCAAGACUUCCAGCUCCACCAUCCCAAGCUCCUGUUCCCACUCCCAAUAAUGGUUUGUGCUACAAGUGUGGACAACCAGGUCACCGUGCCAGGGACUGCAAUCAGAAUCAGAAUCAACUUGCCCUUCCAGCAACGGGCCGUGGUAACAACCAGCCCCGCAACAACAAUGCUAAGUCUUAUGGUCAUGCUCAUGCCAACCACGUUGAUCUCAACGAAGCUCAAGACCAGCCUGCUACUGUGAUGGGUACACUCCUCGUAAAUUCAGUACCAGCAUCCGUUUUAUUUGAUACAGGUGCAUCGCAUUCAUUCAUGUCAGAAGAUUUUGCAUACAAGCACGACGUGAAAUGUGAGGAGAUGAACACCUCUGUAUUGGUCAAAACCCCCGUGGGACAGUGUCAAACCUCCCUGGUUGGCAUCGACGUCCCCGUGGAAAUCGAAGGGCCGGAAUUCUAUGCCUCUCCCAUUAUCCUGAAGUCAUCUAACAUCGACCUCAUUUUGGGGAUGGAUUGGUUGAAAGCGCAUACUGCUUCUAUAGUUUGCGCCACUAAGACCGUCCAUCUACUUCACCCUUCAGAUGAAAUAGUUGCUUACCAAGCUCAUCUGGUGCAAAAUGCCGAGGCAAGGCUCUAUGCAUUGAAUGCAUUGAACGCUGCACCACUCGAGGGCAUUGAAAACAUUCCCGUCGUGCGUGAAUUCCUCGACGUCUUCCCUGAAGAACUUCCAGGGAUUCCCCCUGCUAGAGCGGUCAAAUUCAUCAUCGACUUGAAACCAGGCACCACUCCUAUAGCCAAGCGACCCUACAAAAUGCUGCCGCAUGAACUCCUUGAGCUUAAGGAGGAAAUCGACAAAUCUCUUCGCAAAGGAUUCAUUCGCCCAAGUUGUUCUCCUUGGGGAGCACCUUCUCUCUUUGUCAAGAAGAAGGAUGGGACUAACCGAUUGGUUCAAGACUACCGUCCUAUAAACCAAGCUACCAUUCAGAAUAAAUACCCUCUUCCUCGGAUCAAUGAUCUGUAUGAUCAACUGGCGGGUUCGUCAGUGUUCUCUAAGCUCGACUUGAGGUUGGGUUACCACCAGAUCCGUGUUCGCGAAGAGGAUAUCCCAAAGACCGCCUUCGUGACUCGAUAUGGUUGAUACGAGUACACCGUCAUGUCUUUUGGUUUAACCAAUGCUCCAGCCACCUUCUCUCGUAUGAUGAACUAUAUAUUCAUGGAUUACCUCGACAAGUUCGUCGUGGUUUAUCUGGAUGAUAUCCUGGUAUUUUCCAAGAACGAAGAAGAACAUGCUGAACAUCUUCGACUCGUGCUGGAAAAGCUAUGAGAGCAUCAACUAUAUGCAAAGUUCUCCAAAUGUGAAUUCUGGCUACCGGAAGUAACCUAUCUUGGGCAUGUCAUCUCUAAGGAUGGUAUUGCCUUCAACCCCGAGCGAGUUCAGGCUAUUCUUGAUUGGACUCCUCCCAAGAACGUUAAGCAAGUCAGAAGUUUUCUCGGUCUCGCCAGCUAUUGCCAUCGAUUCGUCGAGAACUUCUCCAAGAUCGCCAGGCCUCUGACUAACCUGUUGCAUAAGGGCGUCAAGUUCCAAUGGACAGACAAAUGUCAGGAAAGUUUCCAGGCACUCAAAGACAAGUUGACUUCUGCCCCAGUUCUAGCUCCACCUGAUACUAAGAAGGACUUCGUCAUUUACUGCGACGCUUCCCGUCAAGGAUUAGGCUGUGUCCUAAUGCAAGACCGCAAAGUGAUUGCUUAUGCCUCUCGGCAAUUGCGCCCUCACGAAGAGAACUACCCAGUUCACGACCUCGAACUUGCUGCUGUCAUUCAUGCGCUGAAGCAGUGGCGACAUUACCUUCUUGGUAAUCGUUGCGAGAUCUUCACUGACCACCAAAGUCUGAAGUAUCUGUUUACUCAGCCAGAUCUGAACCUCCGUCAGCAGAAAUAUAUGGAGCUUGUUGCAGACUUUGACUUGGGUAUUUCCUAUACGCCAGGCAAGGCUAAUGUAAUGGCUGAUGCCUUGAGCCGCAAGUCUUACUGCAACCACCUCCAGGUUCACAAAGUUCAGCCCUCGCUUGUUGAAGAAUUCAGGAAGCUGAACCUCCAUAUUGUUCCUCCGGGUGCACUUGCUCCCCCUCCUAAGGAGUUUGGCAAGGUGAAUCUCCACGUUGUUACCCAGGGUUCCCUCAAUACCCUAGUUGCUAAACCAGAUCUCGUGGAUAGCAUCAAAAGGCUACAGAAGUAUGACUCUGAAGCCCACAAGAUUAAGCGCUACCUCGCAGAAGGAAAGCCCUCAUUCUUCACCAUUGCUGAAGAUGGCACCCUAUACUUCAAGGGCCGCCUAGUGGUGCCAUGUGCAGAGAAAAACCUGGAUAUGACACAGGAAGUUAUGAAAGAAGCUCAUGAUACGCCUCUCUGUAUCCAUCCUGGUAGUACAAAGAUGUACCAAGACAUCCGUCAGAGAUUCUGGUGGUCUAAUAUGAAGCAAGACAUUGCUCGAUAUGUUGCUGAGUGUGACGUUUGCCGUCGUAUCAAAGCAGAACAUCAAAGGCCUGCUGGAACUCUACAACCUAUCUCUAUUCCCGAAUGGAAAUGGGACCAUGUUGAGAUGGACUUCGUCACUGGAUUUCCCAAAUCACAGAAAGGUAAUGAUGCUAUUCUUGUCGUCAUUGACCGGCUUUCCAAAGUUGCACAUUUCCUGGCGGUCAAAGAAACGAUCACUGCUAGUCAGCUGGCAACGCUCUAUAUGUCCAGGAUUGUUUCACUCCACGGUAUUCCAUUGGUUAUCAGCUCAGACCGUGGCAGCUUAUGCACUUCAAGAUUCUGGGCAAGUUUCCAAGAAGCUAUGGGAACUCAUCUGUCAUUCAGUACUGCAUUUCAUCCUCAGUCGCAGGGGCAAGUUGAACGCGUCAACCAAGUUCUCGAAGACAUGCUUCGAGCUUGUGUUAUUUCCUUCGGCAAGAAAUGGGAGGAAUCUCUCCCGUAUGCUGAGUUCUCUUAUAAUAAUAGCUAUCAAGCUAGUUUGAAGAUGGCCCCCUUCGAAGUGUUAUAUGGACGAAAGUGCCGAACCCCUCUGAACUGGUCAGAAACUGGGGAACGUCCACUCUUUGGUCCGGAUAUUAUCCAAGAUGCCGAAGAACAAGUCCGCAUUAUUCGUGAGAAUCUCAAGACUGCUCAAUCACGUCAGAAGAGUCAGUAUGACCGUCAUCAUAAAGACAUGGUCUAUCAACCUGGUGAAAAGGCUUAUCUUCGAGUCACACUAAUGAAGGGUGCUCACCGUUUCGGAAUCAAGGGCAAACUAGCUCCUCGCUAUAUUGGCCCAUUCACUAUUCUCGAAAGGCGUGGAAAAAUGGCAUACCAACUGGAGCUUCCGCCGAACCUUUCUCAGGUUCACGAUGUGUUCCAUGUGUCACAACUCCGCCGUUGCUUCAAGGACCCAAUACGAGCAGUGGAUCAUGAAGUGCUCGAAUUGCAGCAGGACCUCUCCUAUAAGGAGCAUCCGGUCCGCAUUCUCGACCAAGCUGAACGCCGCACACGUCAGAAGGCGAUCAAGUUUCUCAAAGUCCAGUGGUCGCACCAUUCUGAAGAUGAAGCCACUUGGGAACGAGAGGAUCGUCUGCGCGAAGAAUACCCCGCAUUGUUUCCUUCUACCUCCUAAAUCUCGGGACGAGAUUUCUUGUAGUGGAGGAGAUUUGUAACGCCCGGAUAAUCAUGCUACAGUAAUCUCACGUUAAUGAUGGCACGUCACCUUUGUCACUGUAAUUAAUGUCGGGUUAAUUCAAAACCGUUUCAAAUUUAAAUCCUAAAUAAGUCAAACGACAAAAGUUUUCAAAUAUUAUAAUAAAAAUGUUCGGGCCAUGCCAAUUAUUGCAUCGGUAAUUAUUGUGAAGUAAACACAUUUUUAUAAAAUGCCUAAAUGCUUUUAAAUGAAUUAAAACAGAAAAGAAAAUAAAUAAAUAAAAAGAAAAUACAAAAG
Molecule: long non-coding RNA, 9924 nt
Filed under: Triticum aestivum (bread wheat)
Lineage: Eukaryota; Viridiplantae; Streptophyta; Magnoliopsida; Poales; Poaceae
Description: long non-coding RNA (TAES_LNC013536)
Source: RNAcentral